GAAGGAAAGAGGAAGAUGAAUUAGAGUGCCGGAGCCUAUGUAUCAGGAUCUCUUGUGGAUGUAAUAAAUAUUAAUUAACGCUGUUAAAUU
Molecule: long non-coding RNA, 90 nt
Organism: Neltuma alba
Lineage: Eukaryota; Viridiplantae; Streptophyta; Magnoliopsida; Fabales; Fabaceae
Exons: 2
Source: RefSeq, a predicted model, not a curated record